GAUGAACGCUGGCGGCGUGCCUAAUACAUGCAAGUCGAGCGAACGUACGAGAAGCUUGCUCCUCUGAUGUUAGCGGCGGACGGGUGAGUAACACGUGGAUAACCUACCUAUAAGACUGGGAUAACUUCGGGAAACCCAAGCUAAUACCGGAUGAUAUUUUGAAUCGCAUGGUUCAACAUUGAAAGACGGUCUUGCUGUCACUUAUAGAUGGAUCCGCUCUGCAUUAGCUAGUUGGGAAGGUAACGGCUUACCAAGGCAACGAUACAUAGCCGACCUGGGAGGGUGAGCGGCCACACUGGAAGGGAGACACGGUCCAGACUACUACGGGAGGCAGCAGUAGGGAAUCGUCCGCAAAGGGCGAAAGCCUGACGGAGCAACGCCGCGUGAGUGAUAAAGGUCUUCGGAUCGUAAAACUCUGUUAUUAGGGAAGAACAUAUGUGUAAGUAACUGUGCACAUCUUGACGGUACCUAAUCAGAAAGCCACGGCUAACUACGUG
RNAcentral lists this ribosomal RNA (497 nucleotides) under uncultured bacterium. Its description in RNAcentral is "partial 16S ribosomal RNA". It matches the Rfam family "Bacterial small subunit ribosomal RNA", at positions 28 to 507 of the family's 1533-position model. The record is from RNAcentral.